UCGUACAGGUCUCCGUAGGUGAACCUGCGGAGGGAUCAUUACACAAUACAAUAUGAAGGCCGUACGCGGCUGGAUUAUUUUAUUACCCUUGUCUUUUGCGCACUUGUUGUUUCCUGGGCGGGUUCGCCCGCCACCAGGACCACACCAUAAACCUUUUUUAUGCAGUUGCAAUCAGCGUCAGUACAACAAAUGUAAAUCAUUUACAACUUUCAACAACGGAUCUCUUGGUUCUGGCAUCGAUGAAGAACGCAGCGAAAUGCGAUACGUAGUGUGAAUUGCAGAAUUCAGUGAAUCAUCGAAUCUUUGAACGCACAUUGCGCCCUUUGGUAUUCCAAAGGGCAUGCCUGUUCGAGCGUCAUUUGUACCCUCAAGCUUUGCUUGGUGUUGGGCGUUUUUUGUCUUUGGUUGCCAAAGACUCGCCUUAAAACGAUUGGCAGCCGGCCUCCUGGUUUCGCAGCGCAGCACAUUUUUGCGCUUGCAAUCAGCAACAGAGGGCGGCACUCCAUCAAGACUCCAUUUUCACGUUUGACCUCGGAUCAGGUAGGGAUACCCGCUGAACUUAAGC
RNAcentral lists this ribosomal RNA (565 nucleotides) under uncultured fungus. RNAcentral describes it as "eukaryotic LSU rRNA". The stretch from base 205 to 358 matches the Rfam family "5.8S ribosomal RNA". Lineage: Eukaryota; Fungi. The record is from RNAcentral.